This 1420-nucleotide long non-coding RNA is filed under the name Monodelphis domestica (gray short-tailed opossum). RNAcentral describes it as "lncRNA (ENSMODG00000036757.1)". Lineage: Eukaryota; Metazoa; Chordata; Mammalia; Didelphimorphia; Didelphidae. The record is from RNAcentral.
GCUGGGAGAAUGCAAGGAAAUGCAAAAGAAAGAAAAUUUGAGACAAAGGGGCACAAAAUUAAAGGAAAACCUAUAAAUGAAGAUUGUAUCUCUGGGACUUGAAAUGAUAGAAGUCUCAGUCCUACAGUGGAAGUAAGUGCAAUUCAAUUCAACAGACAUUUAUUGAUAGUUCCUCCAAUCUAGAACUCGUGUCUCAAAUAUAAAUACUAUGAAAAUAUGUUACAUAGAAAAACUAUAAUAAUGGUAGAGCAUAAAAUGCAUGUAGUUUGAUCAUAUGUAUCCAUUUGGAUUUGUAUAUCCACCAUGUAAUUCUCUUCAUUCCCUCUAGCCAACCACUUUGGAAAUAUUUUACUUCUAAAAGUAAGUGAGAAGAAUUAUUUGAUUCAUUUAAACAAACAUUUACUAACCCUACUGGCUACCAAGCAUUGUUCACAGAAGAUAACAGGAAAUAAAGAAAGCUUCUGCCCCUGAAAAGUCUGGAUUACACAGAAAAUUGUCAGUAAAUGAAUGGUCAUCUAGUUCAACACCUUUAUUUAAGAGAGACAUUGAAGUCCAAUGACAAGACAGAAGUCAAGACGAUUGGUCAUAGCUCAGGAUGCAGAGGUGACCUUGACUUCUUCAAAGAUCUAAGUGAUUCACAGCAUCGGAUUUCUCCUCUUUUGUUGCCAUUGAAACAGAUUGUUCUCAUUCUCCCCUUUCACAAGGAAAAGUCUUCACAUGUCUGGGAUAGAUAGCCCCUCACUCACCAACUGGUUUGAGGUUUAUUGGUUAACCUCAAUGUGUGAGACCACAGGCCAAUAUAGUUAACCAGGCUAUGCACAUUCACAGCUUUUUGGAGAUACAGGUGAGAGCUGGGUGGCAGAUGGCCACCAAAGGAGGAAGGCAUACCUGAAAAUGAAUGGAAGCUCUCACACCAGAUAUAUUAGUGUUCCCUGAACACCAGUGCUCCAGAGUAGCUAGAGAGCUGGGCCAGGAGUCAGGAGGACUUAUCUUAUUGAGUUUAAAUCUGGUCUCGGACCCUUAGUAGUUGUGUGAAUGGAUAAGUCAAUUAAGCUUGUUUACUUUAUUUCCCUCUUCUAUAAAGUGAGCUGGAGAAGAAAAUGGUAGACCACUCCAGUAUGUUUCCAAAAAAUCCCAAAUGGGGUUAUAAAGUGUCAGGCAUGAUUGAAAAAUGACUGAAUAAUGUUGCAUAAGAUUUGAACAAGAUUUGAAACCAAGUUCUCUGCCUCUAAAGCCAUUUCUAUUACUUCUAUACUGUGUCAGUCAGAUAAGGUAUUGGUAGAAUACAAGUUCCUUGACAAUAGAGAUUGCUUUGUUUUUGUCAUUGUGUCCUUAAUGUUUAUAAAAAAAACAAACAAACACUGCUGGCACUUAGCAUGGGGUUAAUAAAUGUUUGUUGAAUUGAGCUGAAUUAAUUUUU